This 337-nucleotide ribosomal RNA is filed under the name uncultured bacterium. Its description in RNAcentral is "partial 16S ribosomal RNA". It matches the Rfam family "Bacterial small subunit ribosomal RNA", at positions 350 to 679 of the family's 1533-position model. The record is from RNAcentral.
AGCAGUAUUGGAAUCUUCGGCAAUGGGCGGAAGCCUGACCGAGCAACGCCGCGUGAGGGAAGAAGGCCUUCGGGUUGUAAACCUCUGUUGGAAGGGAAGAACGGCGCGACCAGGGAAUGGGUUGCGAUUGACGGUACCUUCCGAGGAAGCCACGGCUAACUACGUGCCAGCAGCCGCGGCAAUACGUAGGUGGCGAGCGUUAUCCGGAUUUAUUGGGCGUAAAGGGUGCGUAGGCGGUCCGGUAAGUCUGAGGUGAAAGAACAGGGCUCAACCCUGUAAAGCCUCCGAAACUGGCGGACUGGAGUACGGGAGAGGCAGGCGGAACUCCAUGUGUAGC